Non-coding RNA from Phalacrocorax carbo (great cormorant), 1545 nucleotides. The record is from the annotation of a RefSeq genome assembly. Lineage: Eukaryota; Metazoa; Chordata; Aves; Suliformes; Phalacrocoracidae.
AUGUGGCUGGUAGAGCUGUGGGGCACGAGCGCUUUGGGUCACGCCGCCGCCUCCUCGCCCUCCGUCUUCCCCCUCACCACCUGCUGUGGGGCGCCGGUCGGCCCCAUCACCCUGGCCUGUUUGGUGAUUGGCUACAACCCGGGCCCCGUCGCCGUCACCUGGGGCGGGGCCGCGGGCGGAGUCACCACCUUCCCGCCCAUCCGUGACGUCAGCAGCGGCCUCUACGCCCUCAGCAGCCAGCUCCACCUGCCCCACGGCGCCCAGCCCCACGCCUACACCUGCAGGGUCACCCAUCCCCCCACCGGCAGUGACGUCACCAAGGAGGUCAAAGUGUGCGAAGCUCCGGCCACUCCCGUCGCUCCAGAAGUCAAGGUCCUCUACGGCGGCUCCUGCUCGGCCAAUCAGGGCCAAGAGUUGGUGGAGCUCCUCUGCCUCGUCACCGGCUUCUACCCGCCCCCCGUGGAAAUCGAGUGGCUGGUGAACGGCCAAUCAGGUCACGUGCUGGGCACCCGGGAGCCCAUGUGGCAGGAGCAAGGGGGCGGAGCCUACUCGACCACCAGCCGGGCCAACGUCACGCAAGAGGAUUGGCUGGAAGGGCUGACCUACACCUGCCAGGUGGAACAUCCGGCCAGCGGCGCCACCAUCCAGGCCCACGCGCGGAGCUGCUGCGACGGCGACCCCCUGCGCUCCUCCCCCAUCCUCCUCUACGUCCUGCCCCCGCGCGUGGGCGACCUCUACAUCAGCCGCCUCCCCAAGCUCCGCUGCCUGGUCACCAACCUCCCCAGCGACUCCGGCGUCCAGCUCCUGUGGAUCCGCGAAAAGCCCGGCUUAGUUAGUCCCGACUUCUUAGACCUCCAAGAGCAGUUUAACGGCACCUACACGGCCACCAGCUCCUUGCCCAUCACCACCGAGGACUGGGAAGCCGGCGAACGCUUCACCUGCGUGGUGAAACACGCCGACCUCGUCGUGCCGCUCAACAAGACCAUCUCCAGGCGCACCGGCAAGGUCUCCACCCCCACCAUCCUCACCUUCCCGCCCCACCCCUCCGAAACCGGCCAAUCCCAGCUCACCCUCACCUGUUACGUCCACGGGUUCCACCCGGAGCACGUCGAGGUCAAGUGGCUGAAGAACAACCAAGACGCCCCCGCGGGCACUUACGUCACGACCCCGCCCCUGAGGGAGGGGCCUAAGGAAACCACCUACUUCCUGUACAGCAAGAUGGCCGUCGCCGCCGCCUCCUGGUUGGCCGGCGACUCCUACAGCUGCGUCGUCGUCCACGAGGGGCUGCCAAUGAAAAUCGCCAAGCAGGAAGUGCGGAAAAGCCCCGGGUUGGACCUAUCGGCCGGGCUCUGCUUGGAGGAGACGGACAAGGAGCUCGACGGCCUCUGGGCCACCAUCAUCGUCUUCAUCACCCUCUUCCUCCUCAGCGUCUGCUACAGCGCCACCGUCACCCUCUUCAAGGUCAAGUGGCUCUUCUCCACCGUCCUCUACCUCAGCCAGAGCCGCGGCCCCGCCCACCGCGACGGCCCCAAGGAGGGGGUUUAG